UUGAGUUUGCUACACACAAGUCCCUUCCUUUUUUUAGUUUAUGUGCUAUGUGAUGAUUGUGUUUUAAAAUUUAACUUGUUUUAGUUCCUUACAUUCUUAUAGGAUUCACACUCAAUGAGCAAGAAACAUCUCAGCAACUCAUUGGGAUCGAGCAGUCAAAAUUCAGAAUCAAGUGACACACAAGAGCUAGAUUUGGAGCUUAGACUGUCACUGUAAUCAGUAAUUUUUUUUACUACUUUAAAUGCAUGCUUAUGGAACUACAUUUUAUGCUUUCCUAGAAUUGUAAGGUCAAAUAAGGUGUUGAUCUACAAUUU
RNAcentral lists this long non-coding RNA (314 nucleotides) under Gossypium barbadense (sea-island cotton). RNAcentral describes it as "long non-coding RNA (GBAR_LNC018203)". The record is from RNAcentral. Lineage: Eukaryota; Viridiplantae; Streptophyta; Magnoliopsida; Malvales; Malvaceae.